RNAcentral lists this ribosomal RNA (490 nucleotides) under uncultured bacterium. Its description in RNAcentral is "partial 16S ribosomal RNA". It matches the Rfam family "Bacterial small subunit ribosomal RNA", at positions 30 to 507 of the family's 1533-position model. The record is from RNAcentral.
AUUGAACGCUGGCGGCAGGCCUAACACAUGCAAGUCGAACGGUAACAGAAAGCAGCUUGCUGCUUUGCUGACGAGUGGCGGACGGGUGAGUAAUGUCUGGGAAACUGCCUGAUGGAGGGGGAUAACUACUGGAAACGGUAGCUAAUACCGCAUAACGUCGCAAGACCAAAGAGGGGGACCUUCGGGCCUCUUGCCAUCGGAUGUGCCCAGAUGGGAUUAGCUUGUUGGUGGGGUAACGGCUCACCAAGGCGACGAUCCCUAGCUGGUCUGAGAGGAUGACCAGCCACACUGGAACCGAGACACGGUCCAGACUCCUACGGGAGGCAGCAGUGGGGAAUAUUGCACAAUGGGCGCAAGCCUGAUGCAGCCAUGCCGCGUGUAUGAAGAAGGCCUUCGGGUUGUAAAGUACUUUCAGCGGGGAGGAAGGGAGUAAAGUUAAUACCUUUGCUCAUUGACGUUACCCGCAGAAGAAGCACCGGCUAACUCCGUG